This 497-nucleotide ribosomal RNA is filed under the name uncultured bacterium. Its description in RNAcentral is "partial 16S ribosomal RNA". It matches the Rfam family "Bacterial small subunit ribosomal RNA", at positions 28 to 523 of the family's 1533-position model. The record is from RNAcentral.
GAUGAACGCUGGCGGCGUGCUUAACACAUGCAAGUCGAACGAAGCAUUUAGAACAGAUUACUUCGGUUUGAAGUUCUAUAUGACUGAGUGGCGGACGGGUGAGUAACGCGUGGGUAACCUGCCUUGUACUGGGGGAUAGCAGCUGGAAACGGCUGGCAAUACCGCAUAAGCGCACAAUGUUGCAUGACAUGGUGUGAAAAACUCCGGUGGUAUAAGAUGGACCCGCGUCUGAUUAGCUAGUUGGUGAGAUAACAGCCCACCAAGGCGACGAUCAGUAGCCGACCUGAGAGGGUGACCGGCCACAUUGGGACUGAGACACGGCCCAGACUCCUACGGGAGGCAGCAGUGGGGAAUAUUGCACAAUGGAGGAAACUCUGAUGCAGCGACGCCGCGUGAGUGAAGAAGUAAUUCGUUAUGUAAAGCUCUAUCAGCAGGGAAGAUAGUGUCGGUACCUGACUAAGAAGCUCCGGCUAAAUACGUGCCAGCAGCCGCCGUAA